GACGAACGCUGGCGGCGUGCUUAACACAUGCAAGUCGAACGGAAAGGCCCUGCUUUUGCGGGGUGCUCGAGUGGCGAACGGGUGAGUAACACGUGAGUAACCUGCCCUUGACUUUGGGAUAACUUCAGGAAACUGGGGCUAAUACCGGAUAGGAGCUCCUGCUGCAUGGUGGGGGUUGGAAAGUUUCGGCGGUUGGGGAUGGACUCGCGGCUUAUCAGCUUGUUGGUGGGGUAGUGGCUUACCAAGGCUUUGACGGAUAGCCGGCCUGAGAGGGUGACCGGCCACAUUGGGACUGAGAUACGGCCCAGACUCCUACGGGGGGCAGCAGUGGGGAAUAUUGCACAAUGGGCGGAAGCCUGAUGCGGCAACGCCGCGUGCGGGAUGACGGCCUUCGGGUUGUAAACCGCUUUCGCCUGUGACGAAGCGUGAGUGACGGUAAUGGGUAAAGAAGCACCGGCUAACUACGUG
Molecule: ribosomal RNA, 468 nt
Filed under: uncultured bacterium
Lineage: Bacteria
Description: partial 16S ribosomal RNA
Rfam family: Bacterial small subunit ribosomal RNA
Source: RNAcentral